GGUCGCUUAGCUCAGUUGGGAGAGCACCUCCCUAACAAGGAGGGGGUCACAGGUUCGAGACCUGUAGCAACCACCA
Molecule: transfer RNA, 76 nt
Filed under: Succinivibrionaceae bacterium
Lineage: Bacteria; Pseudomonadati; Pseudomonadota; Gammaproteobacteria; Aeromonadales; Succinivibrionaceae
Also listed under: 1 other name
Description: tRNA-Val
Rfam family: tRNA
About the family: Transfer RNA (tRNA) molecules are approximately 80 nucleotides in length.
Source: RNAcentral